RNAcentral lists this long non-coding RNA (364 nucleotides) under Cyanistes caeruleus (blue tit). Its description in RNAcentral is "lncRNA (ENSCCEG00000001202.1)". Lineage: Eukaryota; Metazoa; Chordata; Aves; Passeriformes; Paridae. The record is from RNAcentral.
UAGCGCUAAUUUCACCUGAACACGGUCAGACAGGUGGUGGGGUGUCGAUUGGAGUUAAUAAUUAGUGUUGAUUAGCGUUAAUUUCACCUGAAGACGGCCAGGCACGUGGCCGGGUGUCGAUUGGGGUUAGUAAUUAGCGUUAAUUAGCAUUAAUUAGCGUUAAUUUCACCUGAACACGGCCAGACAGGUGGCCGGGUGCUCAUUAGUGUUGUAAUUAGUGUUAAUUAGCGUUAAUUAGCGUUAAUUUCACCUGAACACGGCCAGGCACGUGGCCGGGUGUCGAUUUGGGUUAGUAAUUACCAUUAAUUAGCAUUAAUUAGCGUUAAUUUCACCUGAACACAGCCAGACACGUGGCCGGGUGUCG